CACGCACACACCCACACACACCCUGUUUAAACAUUCAUCUUCACUCUGGUCUGCUGAUUCUACCUUCACACAACUGCCAGAAUCUUCCUCAAGCACAAUCUAAGCAUAUUGACUUCUGGACUCAAAAAACUCCAAGGAUUAUCAGAAAAAAGGGAAAUAGGAAGAAAGAAAAAAACCAAGAACACCGAAAAUAACGAUGCCGUAAGUUUGGAGAACACUCACACCGUUAUGCCGUUUGUUCCGUACAGUAACCCCCUGACGAUCAUUACAGGGGAGACACUCAUUUGGAAAAGGAGGAAGCCAAAUUUCAGGGAGGGCGAGUGAUGUGCCCAAUACCAACCAGUUUGACAGUGGCAGAACUGUGGCUCCUGAUGGCAGGUCGGGGUUCUUUUUGCCACACCACUUUUCUGCCUUUCUGUGUCUUCUCCUUCUUGUCAUAUUGAUACGAAGAGUGAAAUGGUAACUACA
Long non-coding RNA from Monodelphis domestica (gray short-tailed opossum), 468 nucleotides. RefSeq lists it as uncharacterized. The record is from RefSeq and is a predicted model, not a curated record. Lineage: Eukaryota; Metazoa; Chordata; Mammalia; Didelphimorphia; Didelphidae.